Molecule: ribosomal RNA, 582 nt
Filed under: Triticum aestivum (bread wheat)
Lineage: Eukaryota; Viridiplantae; Streptophyta; Magnoliopsida; Poales; Poaceae
Description: partial small subunit ribosomal RNA
Source: RNAcentral
AUGCAAACAAUAAAACCUGCGUACUAUGUACGAAAAAGGAUUUUUCUCGCUUUAUAUUAUAAAACCAACGUACUAUGUAGAGAUCUAGCUAUUCCUUGUCGAAGAUGUCGACAAUCUCCGUGCGCGGCUCCGGCGGCAUGGGCGGCAGCUGCAGCUCCCGAGCCUUCGGCUGCUCCGCUCCGGCCUCCUUCUCCUCUAUUUCCGUGUCAAGUUCGGCAAAGAGCGUGUCGCAUGCCGCCUGCUCCUGUCGGAGGAACUGCCGGUUGGCCUCCACGUAGGCCUCAUCCUAAAUGGACUUCAGGAUGGCCUGCUGCUCCGUCAUCUUCGCGGCUCAGACUGCCGGUUGAACCUCUGCUCCGGCAGCUCCGCCUCCUCCAUCGGCUCCCGCAACGGCUCUCCUUCUCUUCCUCCGCCUCCUCCUCCGUUAGCUGCUCCUCGUCCUCCUCCGGCUCCGGAGAGUCCGGAGGCAUUCCGGUAGCGAUGCGGGGCGGCGCGCCUUGCCUGGAUCUCCUCCGCGAUCUGCCUCCGACGCUCGAGCGUGAGCAUAGCGUAUGUGGUGAUCAGCCGUCGGGCCAUGGGUGA